Molecule: ribosomal RNA, 451 nt
Filed under: Lysinibacillus xylanilyticus
Lineage: Bacteria; Bacillati; Bacillota; Bacilli; Caryophanales; Bacillaceae
Description: bacterial SSU rRNA
Rfam family: Bacterial small subunit ribosomal RNA
Source: RNAcentral
UUUAUGGAGAGUUUGAUCCUGGCUCAGGACGAACGCUGGCGGCGUGCCUAAUACAUGCAAGUCGAGCGAACAGAAAAGGAGCUUGCUCCUUUGACGUUAGCGGCGGACGGGUGAGUAACACGUGGGCAACCUACCUUAUAGUUUGGGAUAACUCCGGGAAACCGGGGCUAAUACCGAAUAAUCUAUUUUACUUCAUGGUGAAAUACUGAAAGACGGUUUCGGCUGUCGCUAUAAGAUGGGCCCGCGGCGCAGUAGCUAGUUGGUGAGGUAACGGCUCACCAAGGCGACGAUGCGUAGCCGACCUGAGAGGGUGAUCGGCCACACUGGGACUGAGACACGGCCCAGACUCCUACGGGAGGCAGCAGUAGGGAAUCUUCCACAAUGGGCGAAAGCCUGAUGGAGCAACGCCGCGUGAGUGAAGAAGGUUUUCGGAUCGUAAAACUCUGUUGUA